This 497-nucleotide ribosomal RNA is filed under the name uncultured bacterium. Its description in RNAcentral is "partial 16S ribosomal RNA". It matches the Rfam family "Bacterial small subunit ribosomal RNA", at positions 28 to 507 of the family's 1533-position model. The record is from RNAcentral.
GAUGAACGCCGGCGGCGUGCCUAAUACAUGCAAGUCGAGCGAACGGACGAGAAGCUUGCUUCUCUGAUGUUAGCGGCGGACGGGUGAGUAACACGUGGAUAACCUACCUAUAAGACUGGGAUAACUUCGGGAAACCGGAGCUAAUACCGGAUGAUAUUUUGAACCGCAUGGUUCAAAAGUGAAAGACGGUCUUGCUGUCACUUAUAGAUGGAUCCGCGCUGCAUUAGCUAGUUGGUAAGGUAACGGCUUACCAAGGCAACGAUGCAUAGCCGACCUGAGAGGGUGAUCGGCCACACUGGAACUGAGACACGGUCCAGACUCCUACGGGAGGCAGCAGUAGGGAAUCUUCCGCAAUGGGCGAAAGCCUGACGGAGCAACGCCGCGUGAGUGAUGAAGGUCUUCGGAUCGUAAAACUCUGUUAUUAGGGAAGAACAUAUGUGUAAGUAACUGUGCACAUCUUGACGGUACCUAAUCAGAAAGCCACGGCUAACUACGUG